GUGGGGAAUCUUAGACAAUGGGGGAAACCCUGAUCUAGCCAUGCCGCGUGAGCGAUGAAGGCCUUAGGGUUGUAAAGCUCUUUCAGCUGGGAAGAUAAUGACGGUACCAGCAGAAGAAGCCCCGGCUAACUCCGUGCCAGCAGCCGCGGUAAUACGGAGGGGGCUAGCGUUGUUCGGAAUUACUGGGCGUAAAGCGCGCGUAGGCGGACCAGAAAGUUGGAGGUGAAGUCCCAGGGCUCAACCUUGGAACUGCCUUCAAAAAUCGUGGUCUGGAGUUCGAGAGAGGUGAGUGGAAUUCCGAGUGUAGAGGGGAAAUUCGUAGAUAUUCGGAGGAACACCAGUGGCGAAGGCGGAUUACUGGACGACAACUGACGGUGAGGCGCGAAAGCGUGGGGAGCAAACAGGAUUAGAAACCCUAGUAGUCC
RNAcentral lists this ribosomal RNA (425 nucleotides) under uncultured bacterium. RNAcentral describes it as "partial 16S ribosomal RNA". It matches the Rfam family "Bacterial small subunit ribosomal RNA", at positions 354 to 796 of the family's 1533-position model. The record is from RNAcentral.